Myotis davidii is the source of this 75-nucleotide non-coding RNA. The record is from Rfam. Lineage: Eukaryota; Metazoa; Chordata; Mammalia; Chiroptera; Vespertilionidae.
GGUGGUUCUCAGUUGACACACUCCAGAAUCGGGCUCCCUCCUCUCUGGUUCCUGGUGCGUCGCCUGAGAACCGCA